GAUUGCUACCUCCCUGCCUAUAAGUAGCUUUGGUGGAGGGCAGAUCGGAGACUCUGGAGAGGAGACAGAAGAGAUGGGACGCCACACCUUCUGGGGAUUCUGCCUCUUGGCCUGCUUGACUGUGGCCUCCUGGGUGGAAGCAUUACCAAGCAUCCAGGGCCGAGCCAAGUGUCCCGAAGAAGCCGUUUAUUAUCGACAGCAAUGCUAUCAGGCGGUUGAUGUAGCCGUCACCUGGGACGCCUGCAGAGGUC
Molecule: long non-coding RNA, 251 nt
Organism: Protobothrops mucrosquamatus (brown spotted pit viper)
Lineage: Eukaryota; Metazoa; Chordata; Lepidosauria; Squamata; Viperidae
Exons: 3
Source: RefSeq, a predicted model, not a curated record